This is a non-coding RNA of Rattus norvegicus (Norway rat), 7451 nucleotides long. NCBI's taxonomy places the organism in Eukaryota, Metazoa, Chordata, Mammalia, Rodentia, Muridae. The record is from RefSeq and is a predicted model, not a curated record.
UUUGAGAAAGGGAGGAUGUCCUACAUAAUAUAUAAAACAGACAGAAAUUUAUUGUUUUAUAUAUGCCCUGUAGUUGAUCCCUAUGUUCCCAAGGAAAAGGAGUUUUUAUUGCAAAAAAAUAGGAUUAUAGACCAUUGAUUUUGGAAAUACAUGGAUAUGUAAAUGGAAACAAUGUCGGCUUUCAAGGACUGCACAGUAAGCAAAUAUACACUCAGAGGUUUUAUACACUCAGAGGUAUAGAAGAAAUAUAUUGGCCUCCAGAAAAAGGGAAAAGCUUAGAAAUCGAAAUACAUGUCACAUGCAUUGUCUCGAGUAGUAGAUUUACUUUUAAGAAAAAUCUCCCUCCUCCUUGGUCCCUAGAGAUUUGGGUGCUAAGAAAAAUCUGUUCUCCAAUUCAGGGUUGUAAGAAACCCUCUGCAGCAAAAGCAAUGUUGACUUCUAAUGAAGCAGAGAGACAUCUAGCUUUGAAAUAGAGGUUGCCAAAUGGUAUUCCCAGUGACACAUGGGAGACUGGAGGAAAGGGUCCCCACAGAAAUUCAUCAGUGUGGGGAGAGCUGGUUAGUAGGUAGGCCAUAGAAUUUUCCAGUGACAUCACCAGUAGGCCGUUCACUGGACACUCUAUUGUAUCUAAGAGAUCCCUAGAAUCUUCUGUGAUGUCACCAGUGUUGUGGUGACACCAACUGCCUUUGGGAUAUUACUUCAGUUCCCUUUGCGUUCACAAGCAGGCAUGUUUCGCCAGCUGCUCAGGCUAUUUCGGAAGGAAAGUGUUGAUCAAGGAGAGACCGCACCAGGUCAGAGGGAAGCUGACCCCCUCUCUAGUGAAACAGGAAGGAGGAAAUCAUUCUGGGGAAGGCUUGGUGAGUCGUGGGCAGAGUUGGGGAACAUCCUCAAGGAGGUAGGUUUGAGAUGUGCCUUCUAAGACUAGGCCUUACAAGCAGGAGCCUUGGGAUUUUUCAAAGGCAAAACAAGAGUCAGGAGUUCCUGAUCUUUAAUUUGAGAGAAAGCCAUAAAGUUGUAAGACUUCAGUGUCUUUUCUUGAAGCUUUUUAACUGUGAGUGUCAACGAAUAGCAGGAGGAGGCACUGUGAGAUUAACAAUGUGACCAUCCAUGGUUGGGAGUUGAAGCACUUCAUCCUCUAGAUUACUGUAGGUUACAUAAGUGUCUGAUGGCGAGAACAAGGAAGGAUGCACCCCUAGUCAUGAAUUGAGUUCUCAGACACUUUGGGCUGGACCACACUUGGUUAGAGCUUGAUGGUGCUAAACAUUAUGAAGUCAUUAUGAACUCCAGGAUUAUCUGCACCACAUCUGAUAUAACAAUGUCACAGAUGUUUAUGUCUCAGUCAUAUUAUAACUUUCAGUGCCGCGGGUUGUUUAAUAGUGAGUGUGGCACGUGUAUGGCAUUAGAGGUUGGGAACAGGGACAAAGCUUAAGAAUCAACCUUUAAGAAAGCUUUUCUGCUCUUUCAGGGCUUCACCCAGUCUCUACCAUUUCCCCUUCCUCAACCUCCUUUUCGGAUUCAGAAUGAUCUAUUCUGCCCAUUGGUUCAAAUAUGCAAAUUCACUUGGGUUUAUCUGUCUACAGGUUUUGGUAGGAAGGCAUCAUCCCAAAAUGUCAUUAGUAAGCAAGAGGAGUGUCUAAAGGAACUGGAGGAACUCAAAUUUGAAAUCCAGAAGUGUCAAUUCGAGAGGGAUGAACUUUAUCAAAUCCUGGAUCUUUAUAUCUAUGAUGAGUGGGACCACAGGCUGCAUGUCGAAUUGCCAGUCCUUCAAUCUGAACAUGAGAUGAGAAUGAUGGCUAUGCAAAUGAUGACCAACUCAAUAAGUGAUGCCAUGGAGAGGUACAAGGAGCUCAUACAAUUGAACAGUUCCUACCGGUGAGUCGCUGACAGAGAUGAGAACCCAGCACUAGGCUGGGAAUGCUUCUGUCCUGUAUGACUUUGAACAAAAGUCAGGGCUCUGGUUCUGUAGUGUCUGACUCUUAACAAGAACCCUGCCUCCUGGCAAGGGUCUUAGAUUUGUAGCUCUUGGACUCAGUUGUCGUACAUGUGAGGGGUGUAGAAGACCCUCCAAUUGUUAUUUUCCCAGUUAAAGUUCCUCUAGAUAGAAAAGGUUUGCACCAUGAUGGGAAUCAAAUCUGAAUCUCUAGGACUCUGACAGGAGAUUCAAAGAUCUGUGAUCCAUGAGAAACACAUGGAAAGAGUCUAUAGCUAUUUGGUCUUCAACUACCCCUCAGAGGGGCUUUCCCCACAACGUGAAGAUGGUUUCACCAUACCAUGGACAUACGAGCUCCCUUAUGGACCAUCUCUUCUUCCUUGAUUUAUAUAAACCGUCUUACUGUCAGGAUUUUCAGAAGUACUUUGAUUCAUGUGGAAUGUGGAUUCUGGAUUUGACCUCCUCUAAUUGGUGCUAACCUGCAUAGUGUGGCUCUAUUCUGGGGAUUUCUGAGGAUGAGGACCCUUGAAGGGAUGAUUGGACUUGCAGGAGUGACAGGCAAAUAGAAGCUGGCUGGGUUUUACCAUUUUUUGUUUGUGGUUCAGCAUCAGGCACUCCCAGCUCCUGCGUGAACAAGCUCAAUUGAAGAACAAUAUACAGAUUUUGCUGAAUGAGAAGAGAGAACUGCUGGUGGAGCAGACUGAACUGCCAGCAUCCUCUGUGGAGACAAAGAGGCUCUGUGAAUAGGCCGGAAUGAACAUCUGUGCCCCCAGUGCCACGCAACAGCAGGUAGGGUUAGGCUUCAGGUCAGGUUGUCCUCAGGUCUUACCAUAAACAUAGACAAACCAAUGUAACUGUCUAUUGACUGAUCAAUGUCCUGACCUAGGUCUCAUCCAAGUGUACAUUCAUGUGAUUGUUUACAAGGCUUUCUGUGGAGAUAGCCCCUUUUCAAGAAACUGCAUGUUUCGAAAGCAAAUGCUCCUGCUCUUCGAGAAUCUGCACUUCAUUGAGGGAGAUACGUUGAUCACACAGCAGAGCACUACAUGCCAUUAUGUAUGGAGGGUGCUAUGUGGGAGCCCCUCUUUAGACCAGAGCAGGGCUUUGAGGGAUGAAGCAAAAGCCCAGAGCCCAUUUUCUUUACAGGGAUGGUGUGAGACUCAGGAAGUAAGUAGUUUUCAAGGAGGAGAGCCUGGUGGAAAUGCCAAAGAAAUGGUUCUCAUUGUCAUUUGUGGUGGCUUUUGUUUUUCCUCCCCUCAUGUCCCUGUAUAUGAAGAUGGUGACUUCAUGCUUCACAGAUCUUGGGUAACUACAGAGCCUGUGUAUCAGCAUGUCAGUCCUGUCUUAUUUGAGUGCUCCUGGAGACUUAGUCCUUUAAGCCUAGGUCUCUCAACAAACAUGAAGCUUCCUGUUUUGUGCUGGCCAGCAGUCUUUGCAUCAUUCGUCCAGUUCCAAGAUGAGCCCCCUCUCUUAUUUGUCUCAACACAUACUUAAACCAUUCAGCUAUUUUAAAAAUAAGGAUUAGAUUUCUUCACUUUACCUGAACAGAGUUAUCCCCCGGGAAGAUUCUGGAUUGUAUUAUUGGCUUCACCAUGAUAUUGCAUGGAAUCCUAGAGUGCAACCCUCUGCUGACAUUGCUUUGCUGACUAUAUCAUGGGCACUGCAUUCUUUCAGGAUAGAUACCCUCUCAAUAUUGUACACAGUGCUGCAUUUCAGAAAAUUCACUGUAUGUUAUUUAUUUAGCCUUUUUCUGACUGACAUUGAGGUUGUUUUAGUAUCACAGGAACUCCAAUGUGAUGAAAUGUUCCUGGGAACUGACCAUGAGUCACUGUCUUCUCUGAUGCUUCCAAAGUCUUCUAUGAAGGAAACAGGGUAGUUUUAGUGAGGGGCCUAUGAUGAGUCAGCAUAGAGCUUGAUGGAGUCUAUUCCUAGAAAUCUCUCUUGGGGAUUUGAUGAUGUGUUGUUUAGGCUAUCUGUUCAGAACAUGUAACUUACUUGUCGGACCAGCAAGUAUCUGCAUAGAAAGGUUUCCUGAAGUGGAAAUGAGUACAGGCCAGGGCAGCACAUCUUGCUUGUGUCUAAGAGACUUGUACACAGCAUUGUUCCCACUAAUUCCUCACUCAACAGGAAAUGUGCUGCAUAAGAGCAAAGUUAUCAUUUGUGCAUGCAAGUGUGUAUCUGUGUGUCUGUGUUUGUGUGUGUGGUGUGUGUGUGUGUGUGUGUGUGGUGUGUGUGUGGUGUGUGUGUGUGUGUGUGUGUGUGUGGUGUGUGUGUGGGUAUAUGUGUGUGUGUGUUUUUGCAGUAGUGAACAUAUGUUUCCCUCUAUUUCCAAGUUUCAUGAGAAAAGUACUGUAAGCAUACACUUUACAUCCAUGAAACAUGAAAUAGAGCUGCCCAGUCAUUUGGCAUCUCCAUCGAGCUCUGUACAGCAAAAGGACACUUAAAUUACUAAUUUAUUGUUUCCAAAAAUUUCAGAAUGAAUUAUCUUGUGAAGUCUGGGGGAGGAGUGGAAAUAUGUUCAAGUGAGUCAUAUUUCACAGGGGUAACAAAUGAUACAGGCCUAGAGCUUGCAGGUCCCUUUUUGUUAUGGUGUAGAAGCAGGACAAUACAAUCCUUUAGAAAUGCAACCCCCAAAAAGAGGACACAAAAACACCUGUAAAGUUAGAUUUUCAAGUGAUUAGGGGCAAAACUACUGAUCUGCAUUGAAAUCCUUUGGAGCACAUCAAAGGAAUGGAGUACUGGGAGGUAAGGGCAAGGCUUCUCUAGAAAAAUUCAUGAGUUUACUCUGCUUCUCUGUUCUUUGUGAAUUGUGAAAGCCCACUGGAAGGUUAUGUCACUCACUGUGUCUUCUCCAAGGUUGCUUUCCACAUUGCCUGCUACCAUUUCUUUCGAGCUACCUUGGCACACUACAACUUCCCCUGGGAGUUUGGCUUGGAUUUUAUUCAUUGAGAAUUUGAGUUGCUUGGAAUUGUAUCGUCAUCCAGAAAAAGUCCCAUAGCUAUGCUGUGGUGCAAGAACAGGGCAGUUUCAGGAACCCCUUUAGGUGCACAGAUAAUCCAAAGCGCUCCUCUAUGUUAUCUGUGUAGCAUUCUGCAAGUGCUUUCGAUCAACAUCAUUUUCUCUCAGUUAAUUUCAGCCUCAAUGGGUUAGGAGAAAUGAUGAGCUUGAAAUGGGUCUGACAGUGUAAGAACAGUUAGCCCUAUGAGAAGCCAUGUUCAGAAAGUGGAACAGAAGUUUUAGUUAACCCAGUGAUUCCACAACAAGGAGUAGGUAUUGCCAUUGCAACUAGGGAGCAUCAAUGUUGUAGUGGUCCCAGAGUAGCCUUGAAGGAGAAUCUAUCCAGACGUCCAUCAGCCAAGGAGUAAAAGUGUACCAUACGAUGGAGCCCUUCCAUAGAUUCUGAUUCAGUGUGAGAUAAUCCAUGCAAGAUUUUACUUACUUAUUCAAAUUAUCUGUGGAACAAUCACAUUACUGGGAGAAAAUUUGUUGAUUUGGAUCCUGGUUAUGGAGAUUUCCUGUGAUUCUAGCUUUGGGCAUGAAGUCACUCAGGCUAUGGUAAAGACAGCUCCGAUUAGAAGAAGUUGCACACUUUGGGGAAAGUCUGAAAGAGUGAACAAGAACAAGAGUCUAGUCCACCACCAAUAUAUGAUCCUUUGCUGAGCAACAAGACAGCUCUACACAGCCUUUGGGACUUGCUAAGCCAGAUUGUUAAUGGAGAAAGAACCCUGAGUCUAUGACGGUUUAUGGGAGGACAGCAUAUCACUGACUGAGCUGUCUAUAGGUCUGGCCACUAUGUACAUAUCCCACUCAACAUUUGUUUUUAUGCCUCCAGCGAAUCCUGGGGAAUCAUUACAUUAAGUAUUAAUGUUCAGGUAGGAACACAGGCUGGAAGAAGCCAUUUGAAUAUCCUUCCCUAUAUAAAUACCCUUUUUGGGUGGAUGACCACCCCACCUGGAUUUCAGCCUCAGGCAGUUAAGGAGCUACUCAGAGUAUUGUUCUGGUACAGUUCAUGUGAAUUUUGCCCAUGAAACAUUAUAUAUGAUCCUCUGGAUUUCUUGCUAUGUUCUACUCCUUUCUUCCUGUGAUCUCUCCGGAAAGAUCUGAGGACAUCUUCUCUUCUGUCCUCUCAAAAAUUGCCUUACACUAGCCAUAGACUUACAGGGGUGCUGUUCUGUUUCUACAUCACAAUCACCUUUAAUGUCCAUGUGUACGCUGGGAAGAUUUGCAUGGAGCACAUUCGCAGUGAUUACAGGAUCUGUGCACUUCCCAUGGAUUUGAAGUGAGAUGGCUUCUCUCUGUAUUUGCAGAUUCAGUGGUUACAAAUGGAAACUAGACGGGUUCCUUCAGUACUGACAUAAUCAGAAAUUUCACCUCAAUUCUGGGCAUGUUCUCCAGAAGGAAUCCACAUGGUAUUCUAGGUUGCUCAUACCUCUCUUGAACUCAGAUUCAGACAUAGCUACAAUGUUAUUAUUCAAUGUCAUAUACCUGGACCAGUGGGAAAAAAUGCUCAUUUUUCUCUUAAUCCCAGUACAGUGCAUAGUCCACAGUUCAAAUUCUAGCAGUUUGAAAGAAGAGAUAUAAAUCCAAGUGCAGGUACUCUAUGACACUUGGGGAUGCAGGGACUGACCUCAGCUGACAGGUCAUGCUGGAUUGUCCAACUGAAUAGAGCUGAUGUAAGAGGGAGAGCUGAAUUGACAACCACUCACUAAACCUUUUUUCCCUUGCUCUGCUAGGUCUGAAAUUCUCCAGCAGAAUCUCGAACAUGACACAGUCCAGGACAAGAUCUCCCUUGGAGAGAAGUGCUACAGGAGGAGUACUACGUGUGCACAGCAAAUACACCACUAUUGCGUCUCACCUGUAAUGUCCAUAGCAAUUGUGGGCUGCAUUUUCCUCCUUUAGUUUGAUUUCUUUGGAUUGAAUACGCUGUAUUUUCACCUUGCCUCUCUCCAGCAAGUGUACACUUUUUGAGGGACUCAGAGAAGUGCUGAUGCACAUCAAUCAAGAGCUGCUGGUCAUCCAGAAAGACUGUGCACGUGUAAAUUUGUACUUGUCCUGAUGGGUCAUCCAGAAGAGUUUCGUGGAGAUCAGUUCACAAAAUUGGAAAGACUUUGUGACAAAGUGUGUAAUAUCAUUUAUACUCAGUGUUGGAUGGCUUUUACCUUAAUACCUCCACUCCAACAAAACAGACCUACUUCCACUCCUCUUGAAAAGAUUAUUACCAUCACUAACUGCUUGUCUACUAUGUCUCCAAGGCAAGCCACAGGCUAUAAGUCUAUUCUGCAAAAGGAGCAGCAAAAAAUGCUUAGUGCAAUUCCUCUAUUUAAAGUAUGGUUAAUUUUUAAUUGUUUUGGUUAUUUGGUUUUCCUUCUAUUCAUUUGAAGAUUUGUAAUUUAUCUGUUGUUGUUGUUUUGUUCAUUUGCUUUUCUAUUUUGAUAAGGAUAUAGACUGUAUAUAUUGACUACCUGCAUCUGGUUACUAUCAAGUAAAUUGGAUGUAUUCUGGUCAAUAAAGGAGUAAUCUCAAA